UAGGGAAUCUUCCGCAAUGGGCGAAAGCCUGACGGAGCAACGCCGCGUGAGUGAUGAAGGCCUUCGGAUCGUAAAACUCUGUUAUUAGGGAAGAACAAAUGUGUAAGUAACUAUGCACGUCUUGACGGUACCUAAUCAGAAAGCCACGGCUAACUACGUGCCAGCAGCCGCGGUAAUACGUAGGUGGCAAGCGUUAUCCGGAAUUAUUGGGCGUAAAGCGCGCGUAGGCGGUUUUUUAAGUCUGAUGUGAAAGCCCACGGCUCAACCGUGGAGGGUCAUUGGAAACUGGAAAACUUGAGUGCAGAAGAGGAAAGUGGAAUUCCAUGUGUAGCGGUGAAAUGCGUAGAGAUAUGGAGGAACACCAGUGGCGAAGGCGACUUUCUGGUCUGUAACUGACGCUGAUGUGCGAAAGCGUGGGGAUCAAACAGGAUUAGAUACCCUGGUAGUCCACGCCGUAAACGAUGAGUGCUAAGUGUUAGGGGGUUUCCGCCCCUUAGUGCUGCAGCUAACGCAUUAAGCACUCCGCCUGGGGAGUACGACCGCAAGGUUG
Molecule: ribosomal RNA, 550 nt
Filed under: uncultured bacterium
Lineage: Bacteria
Description: bacterial SSU rRNA
Rfam family: Bacterial small subunit ribosomal RNA
Source: RNAcentral